RNAcentral lists this small RNA (472 nucleotides) under Pan troglodytes (chimpanzee). RNAcentral describes it as "retained intron". Lineage: Eukaryota; Metazoa; Chordata; Mammalia; Primates; Hominidae. The record is from RNAcentral.
CAGAAUGUCAAACUUCUGUUGGUACAUUGUUAGCCAAAAUGAAGACCUGUGUUGAUACCUAUACCAACCGUUUAAGAUCUAAAAGGGAAAAUGUUAAAACAGGAGUAAAACCAGAUGCGUCUGAUCAAGAACCAGAAGGACUUACUCUUUUGGUACCCGACAUCCAAAAGACUGCUGAGAUAGUUUAUGCAGCCACCACCAGUUUGCGGCAAGCAAAUCAGGGUACAAAACUUUUCCUAUUAUGCUGCUUUUCAUUUGAUGUAAAGAUGUUUCAUUUACUUACUGAAACCUGCCUUUGUGUUUUUGCUUUAUGUUAAUGAUUUUAAAGCAAGUUCAUUUACCUAAAAAUUUUGUUCUCUGUUAGAUUUUGUUCUUUAUCUGAUUUCAAUCAUGUAUAGUCUAAUUUUUAAACAUUUCUACUAUAUAUGAUUGCUAAAUUUAGUAGGCUGAGAACAUACAUUAUAAAUAUUUC